AGCUUUGUGCAGUGGCAGUAUCAUAGCCAAUGAGGUUUAUCCGAGGCACGAUUAUUGCUAAUAGAAAAAUACUGGACUUGCAUAAAUUUAAGUAUUAAAAAACAGGGCUAAAAUGACAGUUUAACAGAAGAUAAUUUUUUAGUCUGAUACUUAGCUUUGGGGAUGUUUCAGUAGAACA
RNAcentral lists this small nuclear RNA (178 nucleotides) under Zalophus californianus (California sea lion). RNAcentral's name for it is "U4 spliceosomal RNA (ENSZCAG00015012816.1)". The stretch from base 1 to 156 matches the Rfam family "U4 spliceosomal RNA". From Rfam's summary of the family: U4 small nuclear RNA (U4 snRNA) is a component of the major U2-dependent spliceosome. The structure of U4 snRNA from yeast and human has been reported. The record is from RNAcentral. Lineage: Eukaryota; Metazoa; Chordata; Mammalia; Carnivora; Otariidae.